Molecule: unclassified non-coding RNA, 348 nt
Filed under: Hevea brasiliensis (rubber tree)
Lineage: Eukaryota; Viridiplantae; Streptophyta; Magnoliopsida; Malpighiales; Euphorbiaceae
Source: RNAcentral
GCUGUACAUCUUGAUCUUCGCGUUGGCUACAUCGACAUAGCUCCUCAAUCUGGCUAGUUACUUCAGACAUUGACGGACGAUUAUCAGGGUAUUGGGCUGCACAAUCUAUUCCAAGCUGCAAGAGCUGAACCAUCUCUUCCUGGACAUUUUGGUACCUCAGGAGCUCAAGAUCGAACACUUCCGAAGUCCAUUCCUCUCUAACUAUGGACUGAACCCAUCUGGGAAGGUCUACACCUUCCUCAUUCAAAAGGGCAUGGGUGGGGGGCUUACCAGUCAGCAGCUCUAAAAGCAAAACGCCGAAGCUAUAAACAUCAGCUUUUUGGGAAACUCUGCGAGGGUCAGUCACUU